Molecule: ribosomal RNA, 435 nt
Filed under: uncultured bacterium
Lineage: Bacteria
Description: partial 16S ribosomal RNA
Rfam family: Bacterial small subunit ribosomal RNA
Source: RNAcentral
GAUGAACGCUGGCGGUAUGCUUAACACAUGCAAGUCGAACGGACUCUUCGGAGUUAGUGGCGGACGGGGGAGUAACGCGUGAGAAUCUGGCUUUGGGUUCGGGACAACCACUGGAAACGGUGGCUAAUACCGGAUGUGCCGAGAGGUAAAAGAGAAAUUGCCUGAAGAUGAGCGCGCGUCUGAUUAGCUAGUUGGUGAGGUAAAGGCUCACCAAGGCAGCGAUCAGUAGCUGGUCUGAGAGGAUGACCAGCCACACUGGGACUGAGACACGGCCCAGCCUCCUACGGGAGGCAGCAGUGGGGAAUUUUCCGCAAGGGGCGAACGCCUGACGGAGCAAUACCGCGUGAGGGAAGAAGGCUCUUGUGUUGUAAACCUCUUUUCUUAGGGAAGAACAAAAUGACGGUACCUAAGGAAUCAGCAUCGGCUAACUCCGUG